This 1132-nucleotide ribosomal RNA is filed under the name uncultured archaeon. Its description in RNAcentral is "bacterial SSU rRNA". It matches the Rfam family "Archaeal small subunit ribosomal RNA", at positions 316 to 1448 of the family's 1478-position model. The record is from RNAcentral.
CCAGGCCCUAUGGGGCGCAGCAGGCGAGAAAACUUUGCAAUGUGCGAAAGCACGACAAGGUUAAUCCGAGUGGUUUCUGCUAAAGGAACCUUUUGUCAGUCCUAGAAACACUGAUGAAUAAGGGGUGGGCAAGUUCUGGUGUCAGCCGCCGCGGUAAAACCAGCACCUCAAGUGGUCAGGAUGAUUAUUGGGCCUAAAGCAUCCGUAGCCGGCUCUGUGAGUUUUCGGUUAAAUCUGUACGCUCAACGUACAGGCUGCCGGGAAUACUGCAGAGCUAGGGAGUGGGGAGAGGUAGACGGUACUCGGUAGGAAGGGGUAAAAUCCUUUGAUCUAUUGAUGACCACCUGUGGCGAAGGCGGUCUACCAGAACACGUCCGACGGUGAGGGAUGAAAGCUGGGGGAGCAAACCGGAUUAGAUACCCGGGUAGUCCCAGCUGUAAACUAUGCAAACUCAGUGAUGCAUUGGCUUGUGGCCAAUGCAGUGCUGCAGGGAAGCCGUUAAGUUUGCCGCCUGGGAAGUACGUACGCAAGUAUGAAACUUAAAGGAAUUGGCGGGGGAGCACCACAAGGGGUGAAGCCUGCGGUUCAAUUGGAGUCAACGCCAGAAAUCUUACCCGGAGAGACAGCAGAAUGAAGGUCAAGCUGAAGACUUUACCAGACAAGCUGAGAGGUGGUGCAUGGCCGUCGCCAGCUCGUGCCGUGAGAUGUCCUGUUAAGUCAGGUAACGAGCGAGAUCCCUGCCUCUAGUUGCCACCAUUACUCUCAGGAGUAGUGGGGCGAAUUAGCGGGACCGCCGCAGUUAAUGCGGAGGAAGGAAGGGGCCACGGCAGGUCAGUAUGCCCCGAAACUCUGGGGCCACACGCGGGCUGCAAUGGUAACGACAAUUGGUUUCAAAUCCGAAAGGAUGAGGUAAUCCUCAAACGUUACCACAGUUAUGACUGAGGGCUGCAACUCGCCCUCACGAAUAUGGAAUCCCUAGUAACUGCGUGUCAUUAUCGCGCGGUGAAUACGUCCCUGCUCCUUGCACACACCGCCCGUCGUUUCAUUGAAGUGAGCUUUUAGCGAGGUGACGUCUGAUUGGCGUUAUCGAACUUGAGGUUCGUGACAAGGGAAAAGUCGUAACAAGGUAACC